UUCAGUGUUUUGCUCUACUGUGAGAACUGUGCUCUGCCACAAAUGCUGAAGCAGCAAAGUCCUUUGCUGGAGUAUCAGGCGCCUCACCACACCAUUUGACCGGAGAAGAGCCUAAAUCUAGGGAAGUAAUGCUGGGAGUUAAAAAACAACUUUUAAAAAUGCCCAUUCCAAUCAGAAGAUAAAAAGAAGUGACAACAGCUUCGCCUGGAGCCUGCUCACUCACUAGCCAAAAGAUCUAUAAAUCUUCAGCCAAGCAACAGCCUCUUACACAAAAGAGUGUCAGUGAAAUGAAAGACUCUUGUACUACUAGUGAACAUUACCAUAUAGUAUCGGAUGUGGCAGUACUACAUGAUGCCUUUAGUCAGCUGAAGGCCCAACCCACCUGCUUGGCUCUGUGUGUUACCGCCCUCCAUGCCUGCAGGCAGUGGAGGAUCAGCCAGGAUCUUCACGGUGGCGCUGAUACACAUUUUCAGGUUUGAUAAAAAGCCCUGUGUGAUGUACUGCGGGGGAGACAGUCACUUCACAGCACCAGCGAACGCACUUUAGAUCAAGCUGGAGUAGUUCCUGCCUUCCGCUCUGGAAGCCCCAUGUGUAUUGUUCAAGAUGGCAGCUAUCACAAGAGCCCAAGUGUGACCUUGUUGCAGAGCAGAAGAGAAGAAAUAUGGACUCAGGUUUGUCUAAGUGCCAAAUUCGGGGGGGGGUUGCCCAUUUUUCACCUUUUUCUUUCUCAUUCUCUUUUCGUUUUUGAGCUCGUCGAGGGAAAGAGGGAAGAAAGAGGCAUCAAUGCCACUCCACAGGGUGGUGAGUGUGUAAAUAUCUGUGUUCUUCCCUCUACUCCUUGCAUCCCAGGGUGAGAAGAGAAGGAAUCUUUGAAACAUUUAUGCACAAUCCAAUUCCCACUGGCAUCAAGGGAAGUUUGACUAUUGACUUCAAUUAGGAGCUCGGAUCAGAUCCAUUCUUACCAAAUGCCUUUCCAGUAUGAAGCCAUUAUAUAUUUUAAAAGAUGUUACUAAAUAACAUUUAUAAAUAAAUCUUCAUGUGUACAAAAUCAUCAUGCUUAGAAUAUAUGUUGUAAUAAGCUCUGAUCCAGCAAAACACUUAAGCAGAUUAAUAGUCCCAUUGAAUACAACUGGACUACUCAGAAGCUUAAUUUUUAAGAAUGUGCAAUGCACUUAGGUGCAGAAAGUUAAGUACAUAAUGGCUUGAUUCUUCACUCAGAGGCAUUUUAUACUUAAUUGGAGUUGGACUUUGUCAGCAUUAUUCCUGAUUUAUAGUGGAGUAAGUGAGAAAAGACUCUGGACUGGCAAGUGAUGAAGCGCAUUGGAACAAUUGGAAAGAAGCUUGGUGCAUCAUGUCUCUCCUGUACUGCCAUUCCUCUUUGUUCCUCAGCCACUCUGCAGUCUUUCAUUGCAGUGGGAGUUAGGAUCCUAAAUACCUUUUGUGGAUCUGAGCCUCAGAGACUCCAUGUGUCCAUGGAAAAACAAUCCUGUGGUUUCCCAUUUAUUAUAUGCAGGUAUUUGAUUAGGAAAGGUACCAUUUUCCCUAGUGUGGCUCCAGAAUGCAAGAGCCUUCUAGUCACUUAAGCACCACCAUAGGGCAGAACAGCUGAGUGGGAUGUCUGGGAGGGGCGUCUAUAUUUGUCUUUAAGGGUGGUCAUGGGACCGGACUGUAAACAGGAUCCUUGAUUAUGCAAGUAGCCUAGAAGGGCUGAACUCACUGUUAGAACUGUAGACCCUGAGUAGGAGGGUGGAUUUGGCUUCCCCAUCCUCCCCAUGUUUUACUUGCACAGUGCCUGAUUAUCAGGUUUUAUGCAGCGAAGUGAAUUUCAUCCUGAAUUAUAGACUCCAUCCUUUGUUUCACUCCUGCAAAACUGCAAAAAUGAUUUGCAUUAAACACCAUUGAGAAAUCUCUAGCACAAAACUCAUCUCCCAACAGCAAGAAGCUGUUGUUAUUUUACCUUCUAGCAACAUGUAAUACGGUGAAAGAAAUGUGGCUAAUGAAAAAAAGGAAGCGUGGUUUGUCUCUGUGUGUGGUUUGUCUUUCUAUAUGACUGCCUUGAACUGCUGAAACAUUUGAAGCUUUGGGCCCAAUUCAGAUCUGAUGUAAGUGGUUGUAGUUCCAGAGCCUCCUCUGUGCUGAGGUUGGCCCUUUGUUUUUACUGUAGCCCAUUUUUAUGUGCGUGCUUUAUAAUUAGACUUAGAUGUUGAAAAUAAUUCACUUGCUGCAUUUAGCUGCUUUUUCCAUCUGUGAAUUAUCCACAAAUAGUUCAUGGUUUGUCUGAAUGUCUCCAUUAUUCCCAAUUGUUUGAAUAUUUUCAUAAAUAAAUUAGAACUUAUGGCUUUUUUGUGAAUUGAUCUUAUUUUGAGGACCCAAGUAGUGCAUAGACCAUGUGCUAGCAUUCUGCACCGGAGUGAAUUUCACUCACAAUGCAGGCCUAUUUUACAGCUACCUCAAUUCCUGUCUCAUUCCCUUGAAUAGAGUGGAGAGUUAAUCAACACCCCGGUGAUGCUGUUGAAUGAAUUUUGCACAAAACAUUAUGGAGACUUUUACAUUUCUGGUCAUUUCUGAGUAGUAAAACUGCAGACUAGACGCAUUCUUGUUGCUUCUACAUUUUGUAAGUACCGCAGGGAAAAGCCACAUACAUUAAAGUAAAUGUUCUGCAAGAAAGAGCUUUUAAUUUCUAUACACAUUUUGCAAAAUCAGAAAGAAAAGUCCUGAUUCACCACCUUGUGCUUGGCUGAUGAUUUCAAUGGAGCUAUAUCAAUGUCCAUCUGGAGUAGCAUAGCAGUGAAUCAGACUCAUUGACUCUAUAAUUCAUUACCUAAAACAGGUAUAAUACUAUGUGUCAAAUGCUGUUGUUUUACAAAUAUUUCAUGCACUAUGCUCUGUUCUGGCGUCUCAGAUCUUCAGCACAAAAGGACAGAAUGGCUCCAGAAUUCAAAUAGGCUGACUGCCAUUUCAGUCAGUGGGACUACUUGUGUCAGUAAAGUGAGCUGGGCUUUGGUCUCAUAGAGUUAGACAAAUUGCUGUUGAUAACAGUUACUACAGACAAAGUCAGGACAAAUGGUUACACUUUUUAUUGCUCACAUUUUUGUUACCUGUUGCUGCAGCACAGACGUAGUGGGUUCUCUUACUCUGUUGUCACUAGUCAAGUGCAAACCAUGCCCUGGGCAGAUGGGACACAGGCAAAAUUAUCUUUGCAUUUACAAUGAGGGGAGCGGAGGAGGCAAAACACAGCAAUCUUUGUAUGGCAUGGAGAAACUGUAGAUGUGUCUUAGGAGUACACCUACUUUAACUAUGUAUGCUCUCAUCUGUAUACUCUGAAAGCUCUUAAAGCCACCAAAGGGACUACUAUUUUUCUUGCUGUUAUGAAGGCAUAAUUCUGGUUGUUAGGGCAAGUGACCCAAUUUAGCAGUUGGCCCUUCACUCAGUCUUCACAGUACUGUGGUAGAACUUUUGACAGCAAAUCAUUGUGUUACAACUAGUUACUGGAAUCAAUCAGCAUGAUUUCGCUCAGGCUGAUCAUUUAAAGGAGAUUAUGAAAUCAUCAAUCAUCACAAGCAGCCAACUAACAGGUUGCAAAAAAUGACAGCAGGUUUAAAUCCCUUGGAGCUCCAUCCAUUUACACCAGCUGAGGAUCUGGUCCAACACGUAUAUUUUUUACAUCUCACUCACAAAGCACUUAAUGUGUCUUAUUAAAAUAUAAAGCCUAGUUGUACUGCAGUGGACCAUGGCACAUGCAGGAAAUAUUUCCCGUUUUGGGGGAUUUACUGACAAACUAUAAAGGGCAGAAACAAAGACUGUUCGCACUCGUUUAAAAAUGGUGACUGGGGCUCUUGUCCAGCAUGCACUGAAAUGAAUGGGAUUAGAGAAUGAGGCCCUGUAAAUGUGGCGUGUUACUAGCAAUUCAGAAAACAAUGUUGAUUUGUUUAAAAUCAUCAAGAGAGGAACCAUCCAGAGAGGAAGGAUGCCCAGAACUUGAGAAUUCCUUGCUCUGCCACAGA
Molecule: long non-coding RNA, 4004 nt
Organism: Trachemys scripta elegans
Lineage: Eukaryota; Metazoa; Chordata; Testudines; Emydidae
Exons: 4
Source: RefSeq, a predicted model, not a curated record